Molecule: non-coding RNA, 135 nt
Organism: Ceraceosorus bombacis
Lineage: Eukaryota; Fungi; Basidiomycota; Exobasidiomycetes; Ceraceosorales; Ceraceosoraceae
Source: Rfam
GCAGGUGUUCCCGAGUGGUCAAAGGGGUCGGCCUUAAGUUUAGGAAUUUUGCCACGCGCGUGCGCGGGGCGACGCACUCCUUUUCAUAAAAAAUCCGAUGCAUAUGCUUCGUGGGUUCGACCCCCACCACCUGCA